UUACUACCCUUGACAUGUCCGGAACUUGCCAGAGAUGGCUGGUGCCCGAAAGGGAAUCGGAACACAGGUGCUGCAUGGCUGUCGUCAGCUCGUGUCGUGAGAUGUUGGGUUAAGUCCCGCAACGAGCGCAACCCUUAUCAUUAGUUGCUACGCAAGGGCACUCUAAUGAGACUGCCGGUGACAAACCGGAGGAAGGUGGGGAUGACGUCAAGUCCUCAUGGCCCUUAUGGGUAGGGCUUCACACGUCAUACAAUGGUCGGUACAGAGGGUUGCCAAGCCGCGAGGCGGAGCCAAUCCCACAAAGCCGAUCGUAGUCCGGAUUGUUCUCUGCAACUCGAGAGCAUGAAGUCGGAAUCGCUAGUAAUCGCAGGUCAGCAUACUGCGGUGAAUACGUUCCCGGGUCUU
This 405-nucleotide ribosomal RNA is filed under the name uncultured Thiobacillus sp. Its description in RNAcentral is "bacterial SSU rRNA". It matches the Rfam family "Bacterial small subunit ribosomal RNA", at positions 971 to 1382 of the family's 1533-position model. The record is from RNAcentral. Lineage: Bacteria; Pseudomonadati; Pseudomonadota; Betaproteobacteria; Nitrosomonadales; Thiobacillaceae.